AUUGAACGCUGGCGGCAUGCCUUACACAUGCAAGUCGAACGGCAGCACGGGAGCAAUCCUGGUGGCGAGUGGCGAACGGGUGAGUAAUAUAUCGGAACGUGCCCAGUCGUGGGGAUAACGUAGCGAAAGCUACGCUAAUACCGCAUACGAUCUACGGAUGAAAGCGGGGGAUCGCAAGACCUCGCGCGAUUGGAGCGGCCGAUAUCAGAUUAGGUAGUUGGUGAGGUAAAGGCUCACCAAGCCGACGAUCUGUAGCUGGUCUGAGAGGACGACCAGCCACACUGGGACUGAGACACGGCCCAGACUCCUACGGGAGGCAGCAGUGGGGAAUUUUGGACAAUGGGCGCAAGCCUGAUCCAGCAAUGCCGCGUGCAGGAUGAAGGCCUCGGGUUGUAACUGCUUUGUACGGUAACGAAACGGUA
This 422-nucleotide ribosomal RNA is filed under the name uncultured bacterium. RNAcentral's name for it is "bacterial SSU rRNA". It matches the Rfam family "Bacterial small subunit ribosomal RNA", at positions 30 to 455 of the family's 1533-position model. The record is from RNAcentral.